Condylura cristata (star-nosed mole) is the source of this 195-nucleotide long non-coding RNA. RefSeq lists it as uncharacterized. The record is from RefSeq and is a predicted model, not a curated record. The transcript is spliced from 2 exons. NCBI's taxonomy places the organism in Eukaryota, Metazoa, Chordata, Mammalia, Eulipotyphla, Talpidae.
GUGACCCUCCGCUGUCCUCUCCGCAGCUGGGAUGAGUGGGUCCCGGAGAGCCGCGUGCUCAAGUACGUGGACACCAACCUGCAGAAGCAGCGGGAGCUGCAGAAAGCCAACCAGGAGCAGUAUGCGGAGGGCAAGCUGCGCGGGGCCGCCCCCGGGAAGAAGACGUCCAGUCUGCAGCAGAAAAGCGUGGACGUG